RNAcentral lists this ribosomal RNA (253 nucleotides) under uncultured bacterium. RNAcentral describes it as "partial 16S ribosomal RNA". It matches the Rfam family "Bacterial small subunit ribosomal RNA", at positions 524 to 776 of the family's 1533-position model. The record is from RNAcentral.
UACGAAGGGGGCUAGCGUUGCUCGGAAUGACUGGGCGUAAAGGGCGCGUAGGCGGUUUGGACAGUCAGAUGUGAAAUUCCUGGGCUCAACCUGGGGGCUGCAUUUGAUACGUUCGGACUAGAGUGGGGAAGAGGGUCGUGGAAUUCCCAGUGUAGAGGUGAAAUUCGUAGAUAUUCGCAAGAACACCAGUGGCGAAAGCGGCUCACUGGCCCGAUACUGACGCUGAGGCACGAAAGCGUGGGGAGCAAACAGG